CCAAUAGCGUAUAUUAAAGUUGUUGCAGUUAAAAAGCUCGUAGUUGAAUUUCGGGAUUAGUACGCUGGUCGUGCCUUCGGUAUGUACUGGUGUUACUGGUUCCUACCUUCUGACGAACCGUCAUGUCAUUAAUUUGGUGUGGCGGGAAAUCAGGACUGUUACUUUGAAAAAAUUAGAGUGUUUAAAGCAGGCCCGCGCUUGAAUACAUUAGCAUGGAAUAAUGAAAUAGGACGUUCGAUCCUAUUUUGUUGGUUUCUAGGAUUGACGUAAUGAUUAAUAGGGAUAGUUGGGGGCAUUAGUAUUCAAUUGUCAGAGGUGAAAUUCUUGGAUUUAUUGAAGACUAACUUCUGCGAAAGCAUUUGCCAAGGAUGUUUUCAUUAAUCAAGAACGAAAGUUAGGGGAUCGAAGACGAUCAGAUACCGUCGUAGUCUUAACCAUAAACUAUGCCGACUAGGGAUCGGAUGAUGUUAAUUUUUUAAUGACUCAUUCGGCGCCUUACG
This 500-nucleotide unclassified non-coding RNA is filed under the name uncultured Glomus. RNAcentral's name for it is "SSU rRNA". It matches the Rfam family "Eukaryotic small subunit ribosomal RNA", at positions 591 to 1092 of the family's 1831-position model. The record is from RNAcentral. Lineage: Eukaryota; Fungi; Glomeromycota; Glomeromycetes; Glomerales; Glomeraceae.